GGUGAAAAGCCCGCUCGCCGGAAGACCAAGGGUUCCUGUCCAACGUUAAUCGGGGCAGGGUGAGUCGACCCCUAAGGCGAGGCCGAAAGGCGUAGUCGAUGGGAAACAGGUUAAUAUUCCUGUACUUGGUGUUACUGCGAAGGGGGGACGGAGAAGGCUAUGUUGGCCGGGCGACGGUUGUCCCGGUUUAAGCGUGUAGGCUGGUUUUCCAGGUAAAUCCGGAAAAUCAAGGCUGAGGCGUGAUGACGAGGCACUACGGUGCUGAAGCAACAAAUGCCCUGCUUCCAGGAAAAGCCUCUAAGCAUCAGGUAACAUCAAAUCGUACCCCAAACCGACACAGGUGGUCAGGUAGAGAAUACCAAGGCGCUUGAGAGAACUCGGGUGAAGGAACUAGGCAAAAUGGUGCCGUAACUUCGGGAGAAGGCACGCUGAUAUGUAGGUGAAGUCCCUCGCGGAUGGAGCUGAAAUCAGUCGAAGAUACCAGCUGGCUGCAACUGUUUAUUAAAAACACAGCACUGUGCAAACACGAAAGUGGACGUAUACGGUGUGACGCCUGCCCGGUGCCGGAAGGUUAAUUGAUGGGGUUAGCGCAAGCGAAGCUCUUGAUCGAAGCCCCGGUAAACGGCGGCCGUAACUAUAACGGUCCUAAGGUAGCGAAAUUCCUUGUCGGGUAAGUUCCGACCUGCACGAAUGGCGUAAUGAUGGCCAGGCUGUCUCCACCCGAGACUCAGUGAAAUUGAACUCGCUGUGAAGAUGCAGUGUACCCGCGGCAAGACGGAAAGACCCCGUGAACCUUUACUAUAGCUUGACACUGAACAUUGAGCCUUGAUGUGUAGGAUAGGUGGGAGGCUUUGAAGUGUGGACGCCAGUCUGCAUGGAGCCGACCUUGAAAUACCACCCUUUAAUGUUUGAUGUUCUAACGUUGGCCCGUUAUCCGGGUUGCGGACAGUGUCUGGUGGGUAGUUUGACUGGGGCGGUCUCCUCCUAAAGAGUAACGGAGGAGCACGAAGGUUGGCUAAUCCUGGUCGGACAUCAGGAGGUUAGUGCAAUGGCAUAAGCCAGCUUGACUGCGAGCGUGACGGCGCGAGCAGGUGCGAAAGCAGGUCAUAGUGAUCCGGUGGUUCUGAAUGGAAGGGCCAUCGCUCAACGGAUAAAAGGUACUCCGGGGAUAACAGGCUGAUACCGCCCAAGAGUUCAUAUCGACGGCGGUGUUUGGCACCUCGAUGUCGGCUCAUCACAUCCUGGGGCUGAAGUAGGUCCCAAGGGUAUGGCUGUUCGCCAUUUAAAGUGGUACGCGAGCUGGGUUUAGAACGUCGUGAGACAGUUCGGUCCCUAUCUGCCGUGGGCGCUGGAGAACUGAGGGGGGCUGCUCCUAGUACGAGAGGACCGGAGUGGACGCAUCACUGGUGUUCGGGUUGUCAUGCCAAUGGCACUGCCCGGUAGCUAAAUGCGGAAGAGAUAAGUGCUGAAAGCAUCUAAGCACGAAACUUGCCCCGAGAUGAGUUCUCCCUGACUCCUUGAGAGUCCUGAAGGAACGUUGAAGACGACGACGUUGAUAGGCCGGGUGUGUAAGCGCAGCGAUGCGUUGAGCUAACCGGUACUAAUGAACCGUGAGGCUUAACCUU
This 1625-nucleotide ribosomal RNA is filed under the name Escherichia coli KTE228. RNAcentral describes it as "bacterial LSU rRNA". It matches the Rfam family "Bacterial large subunit ribosomal RNA", at positions 1320 to 2925 of the family's 2925-position model. Lineage: Bacteria; Pseudomonadati; Pseudomonadota; Gammaproteobacteria; Enterobacterales; Enterobacteriaceae. The record is from RNAcentral.